Pelobates cultripes (western spadefoot toad) is the source of this 378-nucleotide non-coding RNA. Lineage: Eukaryota; Metazoa; Chordata; Amphibia; Anura; Pelobatidae. The record is from the annotation of a GenBank genome assembly.
GUCCGGUCCCAGGUGAGGGUUGCGGUGGCCUCCGGCAGCCAUUCCCAAGAUGGCGGCAUGGCGGGAAGGUCGAGGAGCCCGCCGCCUUCUCUUCCGGCGCGGCCGGAAGUGACGUCACGGCGCCGGUCGCGCACGGCCGGCGCGCUGGAUGUGACCUCAUCUGCCGGCGACGGGCAAAACCCGGAAGUGGGUGCCCGCAAUGGAAAUAGGAGGCCGGGCGCCAGGAGAUGGCAGGCGCCGGCUGAAGAGACCGGAAAUAGGGGUGCUGUGACCCGGACAGCAGCCCCAAGGAGAUGGGAGUCCCCAGGACCGGGCAGUUCAAGGGGUGCUGCGGAUCAGGCGGCAGCCCCGGCGGUCGGGAGGCCGUGUCGGUUGCAG